UACGUAGGUGGCGAGCGUUGUCCGGAUUCAUUGGGUUUAAAGGGUGCGUAGGCGUCCCGGAAAGUUUCAGGUGAAAUGCUCAAGCUUAACUUGAGAGCUGCCUGAAAACCUGUCGGGAUUGAGUGCUAGCGAGGCAGGCGGAAUUGACGGUGUAGCGGUGAAAUGCAUAGAUAUCGUCAAGAACACCGAUAGUGUAGACAGCUUGCCAGGGAGCAACUGACGCUGAGGCACGAAAGUGUGGGGAUCAAACAGG
Molecule: ribosomal RNA, 253 nt
Filed under: uncultured bacterium
Lineage: Bacteria
Description: partial 16S ribosomal RNA
Rfam family: Bacterial small subunit ribosomal RNA
Source: RNAcentral